CCUACGGGAGGCAGCAGUGAGGAAUAUUGGUCAAUGGGCGAGAGCCUGAACCAGCCAAGUAGCGUGCAGGAUGACGGCCCUAUGGGUUGUAAACUGCUUUUUAUAAGGGAAUAAAGUGAGUCUCGUGAGGCUUUUUGCAUGUACCUUAUGAAUAAGGACCGGCUAAUUCCGUGCCAGCAG
This 180-nucleotide ribosomal RNA is filed under the name uncultured bacterium. RNAcentral describes it as "partial 16S ribosomal RNA". It matches the Rfam family "Bacterial small subunit ribosomal RNA", at positions 338 to 514 of the family's 1533-position model. The record is from RNAcentral.